CCUACGGGUGGCAGCAGUGAGGAAUAUUGGUCAAUGGACGCGAGUCUGAACCAGCCAAGUAGCGUGAAGGAUGACUGCCCUAUGGGUUGUAAACUUCUUUAUAUAGGAAUAAAAUGUUCCCCGUGUGGUAUUUUUUAUUUACCAUAUUAAUCAUGAUCGGCUAACUCCGUUCCAGCAUCCGCGGUAAUACGGAGGAUCCGAGAGUUAGCCGGAUUUAUUGGGGUUAAAGGGAGAGUAGGUGGAUUGUUAAGUCAGUUGUGAAAGUUUGCUGCUCAACCGUAAAAUUGCAGUUGAAACUGGCAGUCUUGAGUACAGUAGAGGUGGGCGGAAUUCGUGGUGUAGCGGUGAAAUGCUUAGAUAUCACGAAGAACUCCGAUUGCGAAGGCAGCUCACUGGACUGCAACUGACACUGAGGCUCGAAAGUGUGGGUAUCAAACAGGAUUAGAUACCCGAGUAGUC
RNAcentral lists this ribosomal RNA (459 nucleotides) under uncultured bacterium. RNAcentral describes it as "partial 16S ribosomal RNA". It matches the Rfam family "Bacterial small subunit ribosomal RNA", at positions 338 to 795 of the family's 1533-position model. The record is from RNAcentral.